Lathyrus oleraceus (garden pea) is the source of this 585-nucleotide long non-coding RNA. RefSeq lists it as uncharacterized. The record is from RefSeq and is a predicted model, not a curated record. NCBI's taxonomy places the organism in Eukaryota, Viridiplantae, Streptophyta, Magnoliopsida, Fabales, Fabaceae. The transcript has 2 exons.
UUCACCUCUAUCAAAUAACCUUGGCCUGAGUACCUUUAGCUCUGCCACACAGGAAAUCGCCUUCGGCGGUGGCGGAGGGCCAAAUACCAUAAAACCCGCAUCAACACGAUCAUCUUAUCAUCCUCUCUCAUUUUACCCUAUCAAUUUCUCCUAAUUUCUGACCUAACAGUCAAACCGAGCCUAAACCAUUAUGAACCCUAACUCACAUAAAGCAUAAAUUAAACGUGAUUGUAGAGGAAUCAAAGCCUCCCUUGUUAGGGCUUUGAUUCCUCAGGCGAUGAGAUACAUAUUGGUAACAAGAAUUAACGCGCAAUGGAAGAAAAUAACCUACCUACGAGAUGGUGAGGUGUCCCGGUAUGCGAGUUGAAAUUGAAACAAAAGAAAGAUAAAGAUGAAGAUGCACUCAGGUUGUACUGGUUAUGUGAAGGUUUUGGAUUGGUCUGGUGUGAAGUCUUGGUGGUCCAAACAUGAAUUUGAACAUGGUCCAAGACAUGAUGAUCGGAAAAAUAACAAGUGUAUUAUUUUGCAUGUUAUAGUAAUAAAAGGGAAAUUCCCCGAAUAUCGAUCUCAAGGACUGCAAGUUAA